This 253-nucleotide ribosomal RNA is filed under the name uncultured bacterium. RNAcentral's name for it is "partial 16S ribosomal RNA". It matches the Rfam family "Bacterial small subunit ribosomal RNA", at positions 524 to 776 of the family's 1533-position model. The record is from RNAcentral.
UACAAAGGGGGCUAGCGUUGCUCGGAAUCACUGGGCGUAAAGGGUGCGUAGGCGGGUCUUUAAGUCAGGGGUGAAAUCCUGGAGCUCAACUCCAGAACUGCCUUUGAUACUGGAGAGCUUGAGUCCGGGAGAGGUGAGUGGAACUGCGAGUGUAGAGGUGAAAUUCGUAGAUAUUCGCAAGAACACCAGUGGCGAAGGCGGCUCACUGGCCCGGUACUGACGCUGAGGUGCGAAAGCGUGGGGAGCAAACAGG